Molecule: ribosomal RNA, 484 nt
Filed under: uncultured bacterium
Lineage: Bacteria
Description: partial 16S ribosomal RNA
Rfam family: Bacterial small subunit ribosomal RNA
Source: RNAcentral
AUUGAACGCUGGCGGCAGGCCUAACACAUGCAAGUCGAGCGGAUGAAGGGAGCUUGCUCCUGGAUUCAGCGGCGGACGGGUGAGUAAUGCCUAGGAAUCUGCCUGGUAGUGGGGGAUAACGUCCGGAAACGGGCGCUAAUACCGCAUACGUCCUGAGGGAGAAAGUGGGGGAUCUUCGGACCUCACGCUAUCAGAUGAGCCUAGGUCGGAUUAGCUAGUUGGUGGGGUAAAGGCCUACCAAGGCGACGAUCCGUAACUGGUCUGAGAGGAUGAUCAGUCACACUGGAACUGAGACACGGUCCAGACUCCUACGGGAGGCAGCAGUGGGGAAUAUUGGACAAUGGGCGAAAGCCUGAUCCAACCAUGCCGCGUGUGUGAAGAAGGUCUUCGGAUUGUAAUGCACUUUAAGUUGGGAGGAAGGGCAGUAAGUUAAUACCUUGCUGUUUUGACGUUACCAACAGAAUAAGCACCGGCUAACUUCGUG